GGGUUGUGAGGUUAAGCGACUAAGCGUACACGGUGGAUGCCCUGGCAGUCAGAGGCGAUGAAGGACGUGCUAAUCUGCGAUAAGCGUCGGUGAGGUGAUAUGAACCGUUAUAACCGGCGAUUUCCGAAUGGGGAAACCCAGUGUGUUUCGACACACUAUCAUUAACUGAAUCCAUAGGUUAAUGAGGCGAACCGGGGGAACUGAAACAUCUAAGUACCCCGAGGAAAAGAAAUCAACCGAGAUUCCCCCAGUAGCGGCGAGCGAACGGGGAGGAGCCCAGAGCCUGAAUCAGUGUGUGUGUUAGUGGAAGCGUCUGGAAAGGCGCGCGAUACAGGGUGACAGCCCCGUACACAAAAAUGCACAUAUUGUGAGCUCGAUGAGUAGGGCGGGACACGUGGUAUCCUGUCUGAAUAUGGGGGGACCAUCCUCCAAGGCUAAAUACUCCUGACUGACCGAUAGUGAACCAGUACCGUGAGGGAAAGGCGAAAAGAACCCCGGCGAGGGGAGUGAAAAAGAACCUGAAACCGUGUACGUACAAGCAGUGGGAGCCUCUUAAUGGGGUGACUGCGUACCUUUUGUAUAAUGGGUCAGCGACUUAUAUUCUGUAGCAAGGUUAACCGAAUAGGGGAGCCGAAGGGAAACCGAGUCUUAACUGGGCGUUAAGUUGCAGGGUAUAGACCCGAAACCCGGUGAUCUAGCCAUGGGCAGGUUGAAGGUUGGGUAACACUAACUGGAGGACCGAACCGACUAAUGUUGAAAAAUUAGCGGAUGACUUGUGGCUGGGGGUGAAAGGCCAAUCAAACCGGGAGAUAGCUGGUUCUCCCCGAAAGCUAUUUAGGUAGCGCCUCGUGAAUUCAUCUCCGGGGGUAGAGCACUGUUUCGGCAAGGGGGUCAUCCCGACUUACCAACCCGAUGCAAACUGCGAAUACCGGAGAAUGUUAUCACGGGAGACACACGGCGGGUGCUAACGUCCGUCGUGAAGAGGGAAACAACCCAGACCGCCAGCUAAGGUCCCAAAGUCAUGGUUAAGUGGGAAACGAUGUGGGAAGGCCCAGACAGCCAGGAUGUUGGCUUAGAAGCAGCCAUCAUUUAAAGAAAGCGUAAUAGCUCACUGGUCGAGUCGGCCUGCGCGGAAGAUGUAACGGGGCUAAACCAUGCACCGAAGCUGCGGCAGCGACGCUUAUGCGUUGUUGGGUAGGGGAGCGUUCUGUAAGCCUGUGAAGGUGGCCUGUGAGGGUUGCUGGAGGUAUCAGAAGUGCGAAUGCUGACAUAAGUAACGAUAAAGCGGGUGAAAAGCCCGCUCGCCGGAAGACCAAGGGUUCCUGUCCAACGUUAAUCGGGGCAGGGUGAGUCGACCCCUAAGGCGAGGCCGAAAGGCGUAGUCGAUGGGAAACAGGUUAAUAUUCCUGUACUUGGUGUUACUGCGAAGGGGGGACGGAGAAGGCUAUGUUGGCCGGGCGACGGUUGUCCCGGUUUAAGCGUGUAGGCUGGUUUUCCAGGCAAAUCCGGAAAACCAAGGCUGAGGCGUGAUGACGAGGCACUACGGUGCUGAAGCGACAAAUGCCCUGCUUCCAGGAAAAGCCUCUAAGCAUCAGGUAACAUCAAAUCGUACCCCAAACCGACACAGGUGGUCAGGUAGAGAAUACCAAGGCGCUUGAGAGAACUCGGGUGAAGGAACUAGGCAAAAUGGUGCCGUAACUUCGGGAGAAGGCACGCUGAUAUGUAGGUGAAGCGACUUGCUCGUGGAGCUGAAAUCAGUCGAAGAUACCAGCUGGCUGCAACUGUUUAUUAAAAACACAGCACUGUGCAAACACGAAAGUGGACGUAUACGGUGUGACGCCUGCCCGGUGCCGGAAGGUUAAUUGAUGGGGUUAGCGGUAACGCGAAGCUCUUGAUCGAAGCCCCGGUAAACGGCGGCCGUAACUAUAACGGUCCUAAGGUAGCGAAAUUCCUUGUCGGGUAAGUUCCGACCUGCACGAAUGGCGUAAUGAUGGCCAGGCUGUCUCCACCCGAGACUCAGUGAAAUUGAACUCGCUGUGAAGAUGCAGUGUACCCGCGGCAAGACGGAAAGACCCCGUGAACCUUUACUAUAGCUUGACACUGAACAUUGAGCCUUGAUGUGUAGGAUAGGUGGGAGGCUUUGAAGUGUGGACGCCAGUCUGCAUGGAGCCGACCUUGAAAUACCACCCUUUAAUGUUUGAUGUUCUAACGUGGGCCCCUAAUCGGGGUUGCGGACAGUGUCUGGUGGGUAGUUUGACUGGGGCGGUCUCCUCCUAAAGAGUAACGGAGGAGCACGAAGGUUGGCUAAUCCUGGUCGGACAUCAGGAGGUUAGUGCAAUGGCAUAAGCCAGCUUGACUGCGAGCGUGACGGCGCGAGCAGGUGCGAAAGCAGGUCAUAGUGAUCCGGUGGUUCUGAAUGGAAGGGCCAUCGCUCAACGGAUAAAAGGUACUCCGGGGAUAACAGGCUGAUACCGCCCAAGAGUUCAUAUCGACGGCGGUGUUUGGCACCUCGAUGUCGGCUCAUCACAUCCUGGGGCUGAAGUAGGUCCCAAGGGUAUGGCUGUUCGCCAUUUAAAGUGGUACGCGAGCUGGGUUUAGAACGUCGUGAGACAGUUCGGUCCCUAUCUGCCGUGGGCGCUGGAGAACUGAGGGGGGCUGCUCCUAGUACGAGAGGACCGGAGUGGACGCAUCACUGGUGUUCGGGUUGUCAUGCCAAUGGCACUGCCCGGUAGCUAAAUGCGGAAGAGAUAAGUGCUGAAAGCAUCUAAGCACGAAACUUGCCCCGAGAUGAGUUCUCCCUGAGACUUAGAGUCUCCUGAAGGAACGUUGAAGACGACGACGUUGAUAGGCCGGGUGUGUAAGCGCAGCGAUGCGUUGAGCUAACCGGUACUAAUGAACCGUGAGGCUUAACCUUACAACGCCGAAG
RNAcentral lists this ribosomal RNA (2926 nucleotides) under Escherichia coli. RNAcentral describes it as "23S ribosomal RNA". It matches the Rfam family "Bacterial large subunit ribosomal RNA". The record is from RNAcentral. Lineage: Bacteria; Pseudomonadati; Pseudomonadota; Gammaproteobacteria; Enterobacterales; Enterobacteriaceae.